RNAcentral lists this ribosomal RNA (253 nucleotides) under uncultured bacterium. Its description in RNAcentral is "partial 16S ribosomal RNA". It matches the Rfam family "Bacterial small subunit ribosomal RNA", at positions 524 to 776 of the family's 1533-position model. The record is from RNAcentral.
UACGUAUGGUGCAAGCGUUAUCCGGAUUUACUGGGUGUAAAGGGAGCGUAGGCGGCGCGUUAAGUCUGAUGUGAAAACCCGAGGCUCAACCACGGGAGUGCAUUGGAAACUGGCGGGCUGGAGUGCCGGAGAGGUAAGCGGAAUUCCUAGUGUAGCGGUGAAAUGCGUAGAUAUUAGGAGGAACACCAGUGGCGAAGGUGGCUUACUGGACGGCAACUGACGCUGAGGCUCGAAAGCGUGGGGAGCAAACAGG